RNAcentral lists this long non-coding RNA (829 nucleotides) under Heterocephalus glaber (naked mole-rat). Its description in RNAcentral is "lncRNA (ENSHGLG00100048218.1)". Lineage: Eukaryota; Metazoa; Chordata; Mammalia; Rodentia; Bathyergidae. The record is from RNAcentral.
AUCACGUCCAGCCCCUUAGCGAUGGCUCUCUCCUGGUCUGAGAAGACAGCAUCACAAGGCGUGGAAAAGCCCAGCUGUCUAGAUUUGAAAUACGGCUCCUCUGCUUCUGGGUGAUAAAACUUGAAGGAUACAGAGAGGUAGAAAAAGAAGGGAAAGGAAAAGCCAUCCAAUUACAUCUAAGUGAAGAGUCCUGAGUUGUGAUUCCCGCAUUUCCUUGGUUUGGUUUCCUGCACACAAGCACAAGCCUGGUUAGCGGAAAGGCACUUCUGGAGUCCCUGUGGGUUAUUGGGAAUCCCUGCAGGUCUCCUUUCUACUCUCAUUGCUGCUGAUUUCACCAUCACCAACACCAAGUCUCCCUACCCAAGGUUUCUCAGCUGAAGAUGUGUUUUCCUCUGCUAAAGCAGGCUCAUGGAGAUAAGUGCGCCCACCAGGGCAGAAGAGGGUGGAGCUAGCCUACUUCCUUGUACAGCCCACAGAAGCCCACCGGAGCUCCAGCUGUCCCCGGGCUGGGUGAGGCCGCUCUUCAUGUCACACCCCACCGAGUCUGUCUCCUUUGCUGCUGGGCCUGGCACAGAGCUGUGCCCCACGAACGCUGUGCACCCCUCUGGCUGGAAAUGCGGGGUCGGUGAUGGCUGGCAAAGGCAUAAGGCCAGGAGCGCACGUCGCAGGUGGCAGAGUUAGAGGGGCCGGGUUCCCUCUUCCCUGGGUAUUUCCUUUCUCCCAGACCCAGCCCGCUCCGGAGAGGUGAGCACUGGGCCCAGUGCUCCUGCCUCCCCUCUGGCCUCUCCAGGACUUGUUUUCUUCUCUGUGCCUCAGCCCUAUCCCAGAG